RNAcentral lists this ribosomal RNA (425 nucleotides) under uncultured bacterium. Its description in RNAcentral is "bacterial SSU rRNA". It matches the Rfam family "Bacterial small subunit ribosomal RNA", at positions 354 to 776 of the family's 1533-position model. The record is from RNAcentral.
GUGAGGAAUAUUGGUCAAUGGGCGAGAGCCUGAACCAGCCAAGUCGCGUGAAGGAAGAAGGUUCUAUGGAUUGUAAACUUCUUUUGUAAGGGAAUAAAGUGCGCUACGUGUAGCGUUUUGUAUGUACUUUACGAAUAAGGAUCGGCUAACUCCGUGCCAGCAGCCGCGGUAAUACGGAGGAUCCGAGCGUUAUCCGGAUUUAUUGGGUUUAAAGGGUGCGCAGGCGGACCCUUAAGUCAGUGGUGAAAGUUUGCAGCUCAACUGUAAAAUUGCCAUUGAAACUGAGGGUCUUGAGUGUAAAUGAGGUAGGCGGAAUGUGUUGUGUAGCGGUGAAAUGCUUAGAUAUAACACAGAACACCAAUUGCGAAGGCAGCUUACUAGGAUACAACUGACGCUCAGGCACGAAAGCGUGGGGAUCAAACAGG